Rhypophila decipiens is the source of this 146-nucleotide non-coding RNA. NCBI's taxonomy places the organism in Eukaryota, Fungi, Ascomycota, Sordariomycetes, Sordariales, Naviculisporaceae. The record is from the annotation of a GenBank genome assembly.
GGUUCCUUGGUGUAGUGGUUAGCAUGUCGCGUUUGUCAGAGGUUCUUGGCCCCUUCGGGGAGUGAAAUAUUCGUUGCCAAGGACGUACAGCCAUUAUAUGGUCUGGCACGUGUUCGACUCUGGGUUCGAUUCCCAGAAGGAAACCA